RNAcentral lists this ribosomal RNA (518 nucleotides) under uncultured bacterium. RNAcentral describes it as "partial 16S ribosomal RNA". It matches the Rfam family "Bacterial small subunit ribosomal RNA", at positions 29 to 523 of the family's 1533-position model. The record is from RNAcentral.
AACAAACGCUGGCGGCGUGCCUAACACAUGCAAGUCGUACGAGAAAGGGUCCUUCGGGACCUGAGUAAAGUGGCGCACGGGUGAGUAACGCGUGGAUAAUCUACCCCCCAGUUGGGAAUAACUCAUCGAAAGGUGGGCUAAUACCGAAUAACACUGUUUGACUUUGGUCGAGCAGUCAAAGAGAGCCUCUGCUUGCAUGCCCUCGCUGAAGGAUGAGUCCGCGUACCAUUAGCUAGUUGGUAGGGUAAUGGCCUGACAAGGCGACGAUGGUUAGCUGGUCUGAAAGGAUGAUCAGCCACACUGGAACUGAGAUACGGUCCAGACUCCUACGGGAGGCAGCAGUGAGGAAUCUUGCGCAAUGGGGGCAACCCUGACGCAGCAACGCCGCGUGAGUGAGGAAGGUUUUCGGAUUGUAAACUCCUGUUAAGUGGGAAGAAAGGCUUGUUGUUAAUAGCAGCGAGAGAUGACGGUACCACUAAAGAAAGCACCGGCUAACUUCGUGCCAGCCGCCGCGGUAA